RNAcentral lists this ribosomal RNA (209 nucleotides) under uncultured bacterium. RNAcentral describes it as "partial 16S ribosomal RNA". It matches the Rfam family "Bacterial small subunit ribosomal RNA", at positions 568 to 776 of the family's 1533-position model. The record is from RNAcentral.
CGUGCAGGUGGUCUUUUAAGUUUCGUGUGAAAGCCCUCGGCUCAACCGAGGAACGGCACGGAAAACUGGAGGACUCGAGUACGGGAGAAGAGGGCGGAAUUCCCAGUGUAGAGGUGAAAUUCGUAGAUAUUGGGAGGAACACCGGUGGCGAAAGCGGCUCUCUAGACCGAUACUGACACUCAUACGCGAGAGCGUGGGUAGGCAAAACA